This 1086-nucleotide ribosomal RNA is filed under the name uncultured bacterium. RNAcentral's name for it is "bacterial SSU rRNA". It matches the Rfam family "Bacterial small subunit ribosomal RNA", at positions 183 to 1284 of the family's 1533-position model. The record is from RNAcentral.
ACAUCGCAUGAUGUASUCAGAAAAGGAGCAAUUCGCUAAUAGAUGGGCUUGCGUCUGAUUAGUUAGUUGGUGGGGUAACGGCCUACCAAGACGAUGAUCAGUAGCCGGACUGAGAGGUUAAACGGCCACAUUGGGACUGAGAUACGGCCCAGACUCCUACGGGAGGCAGCAGUCGGGAAUAUUGCGCAAUGGAGGAAACUCUGACGCAGUGACGCCGCGUGCAGGAAGAAGGUUUUCGGAUUGUAAACUGCUUUAGACAGGGACGAAACAAAUGACGGUACCUGUAGAAUAAGCUCCGGCUAACUACGUGCCAGCAGCCGCGGUAAUACGUAGGGAGCAAGCGUUAUCCGGAUUUAUUGGGUGUAAAGGGUGCGUAGACGGAUAAACAAGUUAGUUGUGAAAUACCUCGGCUUAACUGAGGAACUGCAACUAAAACUAUAUAUCUUGAGUACUGGAGGGGAAAGCGGAAUUCCUAGUGUAGCGGUGAAAUGCGUAGAUAUUAGGAAGAACACCGGUGGCGAAGGCGGCUUUCUGGACAGCAACUGACGUUGAGGCACGAAAGUGUGGGGAGCAAACAGGAUUAGAUACCCUGGUAGUCCACACCGUAAACGAUGGAUACUAGGUGUUGGCUGUGAUGAGCAGUCAGUGCCGUCGCAAACGCAGUAAGUAUCCCACCUGGGGAGUACGACCGCAAGGUUGAAACUCAAAGGAAUUGACGGGGGCCCGCACAAGCAGUGGAGUAUGCGGUUUAAUUCGACGCAACGCGAAGAACCUUACCAAGGCUUGACAUAUACAGGAAUAUUAUAGAAAUAUAAUAGCUCUUCGGAGUCUGUAUACAGGUGGUGCAUGGUUGUCGUCAGCUCGUGUCGUGAGAUGUUAGGUUAAGUCCUGCAACGAGCGCAACCCCUAUUUCCAGUUGCCAGCACGUAAUGGUGGGAACUCUGGAGAGACUGCCGGUAAUAAAUCGGAGGAAGGUGGGGAUGACGUCAAAUCAUCAUGCCCUUUAUGUCUUGGGCAACACACGUACUACAAUGGCCGUUACAAAGAGAAGCAACACAGUGAUGUGAAGCAAAACUUGAAAAAGCG